RNAcentral lists this long non-coding RNA (593 nucleotides) under Toxoplasma gondii VEG. Lineage: Eukaryota; Apicomplexa; Conoidasida; Eucoccidiorida; Sarcocystidae. The record is from RNAcentral.
ACGACUGUGGCGUCGAUCUAUAUAAGAGUAAAUACAGGCAUAAUUGUUACUCUUGUACGUGAGCUGUCUUCGAGCAAGCAUUCAGAGCCCUUCGAUUGUGGUGAUAUUGUUUUCUAUACCAACGUUUUUGUCUGACUUUGAAAAAAUUGUUACGACAAUUGCAUGGUAAAGAACAGGGCGCGAAGCUUUCUUCAUAAGUGAAGGUCAUUUCGAAAAGUGCAAGCAAGAUGACAGAGAGCUUUGGGGGGAUUGCCUUCUCGAACUUCGGCUCCAUGAAAAGGUACAACGUUGUGCAGCUUGUCGGUCAGCAGCGUCGUUUUAAAUAAACAUGAAAUGAACUUUCAUAGUCCGAGGGUUCCGAUCUUCUGUGAAAGUACAUGCUUCACUCUUCUGCCUUGUGUAGAAAUGGAAAGCACCUCAGACGUAUUUGUGAACUUGAAGCCUUCGGUCGUAACAGUCCCAUUCUAACUAAUGUUCACCAUGCACAUCUAUGCCACUUGCGGCGAGUUACUCUGCACAAGAGGAGGUCCCUCAAGUCUCAUGGAAAGUUGGUUUUCGGGAACGAUACUCUCUGAAUCAGCGUAAAAAGUUCC